Molecule: transfer RNA, 69 nt
Filed under: Marmota monax (woodchuck)
Lineage: Eukaryota; Metazoa; Chordata; Mammalia; Rodentia; Sciuridae
Description: tRNA.Ala
Source: RNAcentral
GGGGUUGUGGCUCAAUGGUAGAGUGCUCACCUAGCACAUGUGAGGCACUAGGUUUGAUCCUCAGCACCA